Molecule: ribosomal RNA, 466 nt
Filed under: uncultured bacterium
Lineage: Bacteria
Description: bacterial SSU rRNA
Rfam family: Bacterial small subunit ribosomal RNA
Source: RNAcentral
UGGGGAAUUGUUCGCAAUGGGCGCAAGCCUGACGACGCAACGCCGCGUGGAGGAUGAAGACCUUCGGGUCGUAAACUGCUUUUGAACAAGAGAAAACCCCGGUACGUGUACUGGGUUGAUAGUAUUGUUAGAAUAAGCAUCGGCUAACUUCGUGCCAGCAGCCGCGGUAAGACGAAGGAUGCAAGCGUUAUCCGGAUUCAUUGGGUUUAAAGGGUGCGUAGGCGGACUGAUAAGUCAGUGGUGAAAUCUCUCGGCUUAACCGAGAAACUGCCAUUGAUACUGUUAGUCUAGAGUACAGAUGAUGUGGGCGGAAUAUGACAUGUAGUGGUGAAAUACUUAGAUAUGUCAUAGAACACCGAUUGCGAAGGCAGCUCACAAAACUGUAACUGACGCUGAGGCACGAAAGUGCGGGGAUCAAACAGGAUUAGAUACCCAUGUAGUCCCUGAGCGGGCUGGCAAGGCGCAU